RNAcentral lists this ribosomal RNA (468 nucleotides) under uncultured bacterium. RNAcentral describes it as "partial 16S ribosomal RNA". It matches the Rfam family "Bacterial small subunit ribosomal RNA", at positions 28 to 507 of the family's 1533-position model. The record is from RNAcentral.
GACGAACGCUGGCGGCGUGCUUAACACAUGCAAGUCGAACGGAAAGGCCCUGCUUUGGGGGGGUGCUCGAGGGGCAAACGGGUGAUUAACCCGUGGGUAACCUGCCCUGGACUUUGGGAUAACUUCGGGAAACUGGGGCUAAUACCGGAUAGGGGCUCCUGCGGCAGGGUGGGGGUGGGAAAGUUUCGGCGGUUGGGGAUGGACUCGCGGCUUAUCAGCUUGUUGGUGGGGUAGUGGCUUACCAAGGCUUUGACGGGUAGCCGGCCUGAGAGGGUGACCGGCCACAUUGGGACUGAGAUACGGCCCAGACUCCUACGGGAGGCAGCAGUGGGGAAUAUUGCACAAUGGGCGGAAGCCUGAUGCAGCAACGCCGCGUGCGGGAUGACGGCCUUCGGGUUGUAAACCGCUUUCGCCUGUGACGAAGCGUGAGUGACGGUAAUGGGUAAAGAAGCACCGGCUAACUACGUG